GAACGCGUCGUCCGUCAUGGCGUGAUCCUUUCUUCCUUUUCUUCCUAGUCAUCUUGAUUUGGCCGGUGGAGGAAGAAUUGAAGGUGAACAGUGGUGAUGAACAGUAGCUCGCCGGUUUGCUUGGUUUCAGGUUGAUUUUUCGGCCAAACCGUGUGGAUUUGUUUGUUGUUACAGGACGUAUUGAGCCCUCGAGCGAGGAGGACACUGGCAGGCAGCAGGAUUAGCUGCGAGAUUCACCAAAAAGGAUUUAAAGAAAGGAGUUGGCAAGGAGGCUAGUUUCGGUGCAUGCGUACAUUACCUAGUCGGCAAUCCCCUCUAGGUAAUAGUCUGGUCGGUAGUCCCCUC
Molecule: long non-coding RNA, 345 nt
Organism: Rosa chinensis
Lineage: Eukaryota; Viridiplantae; Streptophyta; Magnoliopsida; Rosales; Rosaceae
Exons: 4
Source: RefSeq, a predicted model, not a curated record